This 559-nucleotide ribosomal RNA is filed under the name uncultured bacterium. Its description in RNAcentral is "partial 16S ribosomal RNA". It matches the Rfam family "Bacterial small subunit ribosomal RNA", at positions 355 to 922 of the family's 1533-position model. The record is from RNAcentral.
UGGGGAAUAUUGGACAAUGGGCGGAAGCCUGAUCCAGCAACGCCGCGUGAGGGAUGACGGCCUUCGGGUUGUAAACCUCUUUCAGCACAGACGAAGCGCAAGUGAUGGUAUGUGCAGAAGAAGGACCGGCCAACUACGUGCCAGCAGCCGCGGUAAUACGUAGGGUCCGAGCGUUGUCCGGAAUUAUUGGGCGUAAAGGGCUCGUAGGCGGUUUGUCGCGUCGGGAGUGAAAACACCGGGCUUAACUCGGUGCUUGCUUUCGAUACGGGCAGACUAGAGGCAUUCAGGGGAGAACGGAAUUCCUGGUGUAGCGGUGAAAUGCGCAGAUAUCAGGAGGAACACCGGUGGCGAAGGCGGUUCUCUGGGAAUGUCCUGACGCUGAGGAGCGAAAAGUGUGGGGAGCGAACAGGAUUAGAUACCCUGGUAGUCCACACCGUAAAACGUUGGGCGCUAGGUGUGGGAUCCAUUCCACGGGUUCCGUGCCGCAGCUAACGCAUUAAGCGCCCCGCCUGGGGAGUACGGCCGCAAGGCUAAAACUUAAAUGAAUUGACGGGGUCAU